GAUGAACGCUGGCGGCGUGCCUAAUACAUGCAAGUCGAACGAACGGACGAGAAGCUUGCUUCUCUGAUGUUAGCGGCGGACGGGUGAGUAACACGUGGAUAACCUACCUAUAAGACUUGGAUAACUUCGGGAAACCGUAUCUAAUACCGGAUGAUAUUUUGCACCGCAUUGUUCAAGAGUGAAAGACGGUCUUGCUGUCGCUUAUAGAUGGAUCCGCGCUGCAUUAGCUAGUUGGUAAGGUAACGGCUUACCAAGGCAACGAUGCAUAGCCGACCUGAGAGGGUGAUCGGACACACUGGAACUGAGACACGGUCCAGACUCCUACGGGAGGACGCAGUAGGGAAUCUUCCGCAAUGGGCGAAAGCCUGACAGAGCAAAGUCGCGUGAGUGAUGAAGGUGUUCGGAUCGUAAAACGCUGUUAUUAGGGAAGAACAAAUGUGUAAGUAACUGUGAACAUCUUGACAGUACCUAAUCAGAAAGCCACGGCUAACUACGUG
RNAcentral lists this ribosomal RNA (497 nucleotides) under uncultured bacterium. RNAcentral describes it as "partial 16S ribosomal RNA". It matches the Rfam family "Bacterial small subunit ribosomal RNA", at positions 28 to 507 of the family's 1533-position model. The record is from RNAcentral.